UACGGAGGGUGCGAGCGUUGUCCGGAAUUACUGGGCGUAAAGGGCGCGUAGGCGGCUGUACAAGUCAAAGGUGAAAUCCCUCGGCUUAACCGAGGAACUGCCCUCCAAACUGCUUGGCUUGAGUCCGGGAGAGGUGAGUGGAAUUCCCAGUGUAGCGGUGAAAUGCGUAGAUAUUGGGAGGAACACCAGUGGCGAAGGCGGCUCACUGGACCGGAACUGACGCUGAGGCGCGAAAGCGUGGGGAGCAAACGGG
RNAcentral lists this ribosomal RNA (253 nucleotides) under uncultured bacterium. RNAcentral's name for it is "partial 16S ribosomal RNA". It matches the Rfam family "Bacterial small subunit ribosomal RNA", at positions 524 to 776 of the family's 1533-position model. The record is from RNAcentral.